AACGCACAUUGCGCCCCCUGGUAUUCCGGGGGGCAUGCCUGUCCGAGCGUCAUUGCUGCCCUCAAGCACGGCUUGUGUGUUGGGCCCUCGUCCCCCGGGACGGGCCCGAAAGGCAGCGGCGGCACCGCGUCCGGUCCUCGAGCGUAUGGGGCUUCGUCACCCGCUCUGUAGGCCCGGCCGGCGCCUGCCGACACCAUCAAUCUUUUUUUCCAGGUUGACCUCGGAUCAGGUAGGGAUACCCGCUGAACUUAA
Molecule: unclassified non-coding RNA, 252 nt
Filed under: uncultured fungus
Lineage: Eukaryota; Fungi
Description: partial contains 5.8S ribosomal RNA, internal transcribed spacer 2, and large subunit ribosomal RNA
Rfam family: 5.8S ribosomal RNA (bases 1-52)
Source: RNAcentral